GACGAACGCUGGCGGCGUGCCUAAUACAUGCAAGUAGAACGCACAGUUUAUACCGUAGCUUGCUACACCAUAGACUGUGAGUUGCGAACGGGUGAGUAACGCGUAGGUAACCUGCCUGGUAGCGGGGGAUAACUAUUGGAAACGAUAGCUAAUACCGCAUAAUAUUAAUUAUUGCAUGAUAAUUAAUUGAAAGGUGCAAUUGCACCACUACCAGAUGGACCUGCGUUGUAUUAGCUAGUAGGUGAGGUAACGGCUCACCUAGGCGACGAUACAUAGCCGACCUGAGAGGGUGAUCGGCCACACUGGGACUGAGACACGGCCCAGACUCCUACGGGAGGCAGCAGUAGGGAAUCUUCGGCAAUGGACGAAAGUCUAACCGAGCAACGCCGCGUGAGUGAAGAAGGUUUUCGGAUCGUAAAGCUCUGUUGUAAGAGAAGAACGGGUGUGAGAGUGGAAAGUUCACACUGUGACGGUAUCUGACCAGAAAGGGACGGCUAACUACGUG
RNAcentral lists this ribosomal RNA (505 nucleotides) under uncultured bacterium. Its description in RNAcentral is "partial 16S ribosomal RNA". It matches the Rfam family "Bacterial small subunit ribosomal RNA", at positions 28 to 507 of the family's 1533-position model. The record is from RNAcentral.